This 775-nucleotide ribosomal RNA is filed under the name uncultured Neocallimastigales. RNAcentral describes it as "partial large subunit ribosomal RNA". It matches the Rfam family "Eukaryotic large subunit ribosomal RNA", at positions 24 to 647 of the family's 3401-position model. The record is from RNAcentral. Lineage: Eukaryota; Fungi; Neocallimastigomycota; Neocallimastigomycetes; Neocallimastigales.
GUAGUCUCGCACAGAUGCAUAUCAAUAAGCGGAGGAAAAGAAACUAACAAGGAUUCCCCUAGUAACGGCGAGUGAAGCGGGAAGAGCUCAAAUUUGAAAUCUUAAAGGGUUUCCCUUUACGAAUUGUAGUUUAAAGAAGUGUUUUCUGAUUGAGGUUUUGGUAAAAGUUCUUUGGAAUAGGACAUCAUAGAGGGUGAGAAUCCCGUAUUUGACCUUUACUUUCAACUUUGUGAUACACUUUCAAAGAGUCGGAUUGUUUGGGAAUGCAGUCCAAAAUGGGUGGUAAAUUUCAUCUAAAGCUAAAUAUUGGCGAGAGACCGAUAGCGAACAAGUACCGUGAGGGAAAGAUGAAAAGAACUUUGAAAAGAGAGUUAAACAGUACGUGAAAUUGUCAAAAGGGAAGCGUUUGACACCAGUGUUGUUUUUCUGAAAAUCAAUUAAAGAACUGUUUAUGCUAAGCUGUUUAGACUUUAUCAGCUAUCUGUUUAGUUUUGAGCUUUUCUUUAAUGCACUUUUCAGUUAACAAGUCAACAUCAAUUUCUUUUGCUGUAAAAAAGCUUGAGGAAGGUGGCUUGAGAUUCGUCUUAAGUGUUUAUAGCCUCUUGCCUAUGCAGUCGGAGAGAUUGAGGUCUGCAGCGUAGAUCCUUCGGGGCUAAAUGCAUUUGUGCUAAGUUAUAGCAUUUUAUAGACAACUUGUUGACUAUGAUUUGUCUUGUAGCUUACUCGCUUAUGUUAUUUUACCUACGCUUAGGAUGUUGACGCAUGAGAUAUACGC